Molecule: unclassified non-coding RNA, 514 nt
Filed under: uncultured Entrophospora
Lineage: Eukaryota; Fungi; Glomeromycota; Glomeromycetes; Entrophosporales; Entrophosporaceae
Description: SSU rRNA
Rfam family: Eukaryotic small subunit ribosomal RNA
Source: RNAcentral
AGCAGCCGCGGUAAUUCCAGCUCCAAUAGCGUAUAUUAAAGUUGUUGCAGUUAAAAGCUCGUAGUUGAAUUUCGGGAUUGACGUGAUAGUCAUGCCUUAAGGGGUAUGAACUGUCGCUGUUGAUUUCUCACCUUCCGGAGAAACUUGAUGUCCUUAAUUGGGUGUCUUGCGGAUCCAGGACCUUUACCUUGAAAAAUUAGAGUGUUUAAAGCAGGCAUUUUGCUCGAAUACAUUAGCAUGGAAUAAUAGAAUAGGACGGCAUGGUUCUAUUUUGUUGGUUUCUAGGAUCACCGUAAUGAUUAAUAGGGAUAGUUGGGGGCAUUAGUAUUCAAUUGUCAGAGGUGAAAUUCUUGGAUUUAUUGAAGACUAACUACUGCGAAAGCAUUUGCCAAGGAUUGUUUCAUUAAUCAAGAACGAAAGUUAGGGGAUCGAAGACGAUCAGAUACCGUCGUAGUCUUAACCAUAAACUAUGCCGACUAGGAAUCAGACGAUGUUAAUUUUUAAUGUACUCGUU